GGCCACCUUCGGGGGGCUUUACCAUAGCAAGGCAUUGCCUUGCGAUAGCAAACGGAAGACAGAAA
This 65-nucleotide non-coding RNA is filed under the name unclassified sequences. The record is from Rfam.